AGUCUUAUAUUCAAUAAUGAUUUUAGAUUGCAAAUCUAAAGGUAAAGGUUUCUUUUAAGGCUU
Molecule: transfer RNA, 63 nt
Filed under: Chloronia mirifica
Lineage: Eukaryota; Metazoa; Arthropoda; Insecta; Megaloptera; Corydalidae
Description: tRNA-Cys
Source: RNAcentral